CCAAACGAAGAGCACGCACUAUCUUGGUUGCUUACUGCAAGUAAUUGCAUCAAAGAUGUUCUCAUAUGUCCUUGAUUCAAUUCCUCGCUUACAGCAAGUAAAUCCAUCAAAGUGGAUAUGUCUGUUUUUGACUGAAAUUUUAAUUUUUUUUUUCAAUAACUAAUGAACCAAUUCAUGUGUGUUAUGAUUUGUAAACCAAUUCAUGAAAGUUGAUGUCCACGAGACUAUAACCAUAUGGUAUAACUGUAACAUAUCUGAAGUUAUCAAGUAACUCUAAUCUCUACAUGUUCUCAAGAGAAUUUAACUAGUUAAGUAUAUGUGGACAUUGUCGAGUGGAUAUGUCUGUUUUGAC
Molecule: long non-coding RNA, 352 nt
Filed under: Capsella rubella
Lineage: Eukaryota; Viridiplantae; Streptophyta; Magnoliopsida; Brassicales; Brassicaceae
Description: long non-coding RNA (CRUB_LNC003099)
Source: RNAcentral